CACAAAUCCGUCAGGAAAUGCGCCUCAUUGCAUAUCUUUGUGCUUACCGUAUGGUCAACAUAGAGGAAUGUUUUCAGAGUACUAGCAUCAUGACACGCCUGAGGGAAAGCGAAUGAAGCAACAUUAUUGGUCUGCUCCAAGGUCUCCACAAGUUCCUCCCAUCGUGUGCGUGGUAUACACAUUACAACAGUAAUGGCCUGAAUGAGUGAGCAAGACCAGCACCCCUGGAUUGGUUUCUCUGAUGGCAACACCACAGGAGAUACAUUGUGUGAG
Long non-coding RNA from Alosa sapidissima (American shad), 273 nucleotides. RefSeq lists it as uncharacterized. NCBI's taxonomy places the organism in Eukaryota, Metazoa, Chordata, Actinopteri, Clupeiformes, Clupeidae. The transcript is spliced from 3 exons. The record is from RefSeq and is a predicted model, not a curated record.